CCGGACCUCCCGAUAAAGUAGCCAUCACCCUUUACCAGGACUUUGGACCUGCUGCUCGAAGACAGAUUAUAUAUGAGUGAAAAUAAAGAUUUACAGAAAGUCAGGAACACGACCCACUGAAAUACACAGAAGACACUUGCUGUGAAAACGAUAAUGGAUGCCUAAUCUGAAGGAAAGCUUAAUUUAGUGAUAUUUCAAGGAUGUUAUCUACUUAGAGACUGGUGUGGAGGACGGCACCUACCCUUACACAUGAACAUUGAUUGAAGCUGUCUGGUACAUUAUCAGUAGAGUACAGCGCACUGUACGCCCGAUCAGAGAAGUUUGUCGAAAAAGUAGCAGUGAAUAAUAGGAAGGACAUAUUGUGUCACGGUGUUUGAUAAAAGGUGUUGUUCCUCUGGAAACUUUUUUUGAUCGUCUUCUCUGGGAUAGCUGGAAAUAACCUCUCUGAAAUACAAGAAUGGAACAAGUUCUCAUUCUCAGCUGAUCAGGGACUUGUGUGAAGGAGGAGUGUUAGUGCGGAGAAGAAUUUGUCUCGGCCCAUCAUGACCUGUUGGUGGAGGCUGGACACUUCAAUAAACAUUGCUGUGGUUUUCCUGGGGUGUACCAAUCAUUUGUAGUCAUUAUUUCCCACAUGAAGAGUCAGAGGAGUAUUCAUUUUUCUAGUAAUAAGUUGAGACUCUACAGAGCAUGAAGGCAGAUAUUACAGUUACCUGCCUUAGACAAUAUGAAUUGUAAUAUAGCACUUGCUAGUUAUGUAAUUUCAGAUGAUGCUGUUUGAAUGCUUUUAGUCUCGUCACUAGUCACAUUAAGACAUUAGCUAUAACUGCAUAUAUUGCCUUUACAUUAAUUAUCUGCAUAGAACUAAACAUUUAAUAGUAGAUUUCAUGUAGUACUACAUGACUCUCUAGGAAUGCAUUUUAGGUCACCUGAGUCACUCGAGUGACCUAUUGGUAUUGUUCUGCGUCCGUUGUCGUGCAUCGUCCACCUACAAUUGAACAUUUUUAUACACCCGUCUUAGGACGGAUCGUAUUAUGAACAGCAAUGUGUACGUUUGUCAGUCCAUUUGGGGGUUCCUGUUUCUAUUUUUAUUUUUCUAUCAAGUAUUAAACCGUUAUUGUGUAGUUUCUUUAUGGGUCACUCUUGAUCAUGUUUCAGCUUUAACUGAUUUCAGUUUUCAAGUAAGGAUUAAGUUAUUUUACAGUUUUUGUUUUGGAACGAAAGAUGUACGUGUAGGGGAAUGGGUAGUUUAUUCUAGGAGGGACCAAACUUGGCAUGUAGUGUAUAUGUGUAAAACAUUGAAUAUCAUCUUCUUUAAUGUUAUCGAUGGACACCACAAUUAUAAAUUUCAAGAUUCUGGGGUAAGGAUUUGGGUAUCAGAGUGGGACCUGAAUAAUCUUUGUGAUUUAUUGUCUUUCACAUAUCAAAGUACCCUUACUACCGACAAAUGCAUAUAGGAAAAACAAAAAAUGUACAGUAUACCAAAAAUUGUAAAUCUCACAACCAUAGGUUACACAUCAGGUGUGAGUCAAUAAUUCAAUGCUCCUCUGUAAGGUUCAAGAUCUAGGGCAGGGUUAAUGUAGGAACAUUGUUGUAGAUUUCUUAGUCUUAGUCAUACCUUUAACUAAUAGGCCUUUCCUAAAACGUGAGUUAUCUCUCUUUGUAUUCUUACAUUUAUUGUGAAUAUUUCCGGGUACAUGUAGUUACACAAUCAGACUGCUCAUAUAUUUUAAGAGUUAUAUUAAUAUAGCAUUAUUAGUAUAAAUGCUGUUUAAAAUCAAAAACAGUUGAAAUCAUUUGUACGAGAGAGUAAGAAAAUGUUAAUGGAAACAACAAAGAAUUUCUUGAUCGAGUUGGGUGUGAUUUUUCGGGGUCUGGGGAAUUUUGAAAAUUGAAUAGGAAAUCACGACGGCAUUCAUUUGUUUACAUAUGUCUCCAAUAACGACUGACAUAAUCAUAUUGCUCAAAAGAUGAUGGCAACUCAUCAACUCAAAUUUGGGGUUUUUACUAGGAUCGACACGUCACGUGCAUUGAUCUUGCAUAUCAUGGUACCUCCUCCCCCCUUCUAAAAUGAAUUUUUGAAAAUAUAAAUUAGGAAAUCAGUGUUCUCACUGUUUUACCAGGGCUAAAAUUAUCCCACCACUACCAAUCAACUCUUUCAAAAAUAAACCAGAUUGCAAUUUUGGGUAACUUUCUCCAAAUUAUUCUGUGUGGAAAUCAUUUGCACAUGUGCAACAUGAAGAUUGGAUGGUUAAUAUCAACUGAUAUGUUUAAAAUGCACUAAAAUAGGUAAUUAAAUAAAUUAAAAAAAGCAUUACUUUUGUUCAAUAUUGCUCGAUUGAUAUAAAUUAUUUUCAUAGACCUGUGUGAUCCCGUGGGGGGGGGGGGGGGGGGGGGGGGGGGGUAUAGUCCAAAUGUACUCUCUGGGGGAUAGGUAAGUUUAACCCCCAAUAGAAUGUCUUUGACGUCUCUAUCUAAUUCCCUCUUUUAGUCGUUUUAGCCCCCUUCAAAUGUACUUGAUUAUGUAUAGGUACAUAUAGUGUCAUAACAGAAAUUGCAAUGGCAGAUAUAGAUCCCCCUUUUCGCCACAAAUUUACAAAAUAAUUCGAGUACAACUCCAAAAUUGAUAUUUUACCCAAAUGGCUGUAUUUACAGGUACAUACUUUUCCCAACUUAUUUAAUGUAUUGCUAUAAAUUCAGGGGGGUUCGACUAUAGUUAUUUUAUUUUCAAAACAUUGCAUGUGUAAAUGUCACUUUAAAGAUGGUUUGUGACAAUGAAUUUCUUUAUGGUUCUACUUGUAUUUGAAACUGUAUAAAGUUUGUGGACAGACAGCUGGAAAUCUGUCAGUGGCCUCUCAUUUACAACUUAGUACAGGCUUGGUUAAAUUUUACUUGCCAAUCGAAGGAGGUGGACAUUUUCAGAAUGCAGUGGUGUCAGUCCGACAUACCUAGAUGUACAUCGUGGCAUAACUUUCAUCGCUGAAUGUACUACAUUAAUAUUGAACAAGUAACAUCUGAUAUUUUAUUAUAAAUCUGACUGCAUUAAAACAUGGGGUAAAAAUCCUCAGGAAAUGUAUGCUAUAUAUUGUGAUAUAUACUAAUUUCAGUCAUAAAACACGUGAAAUCCUGGAGGGGGGUAGUUAGAAUAAUCUAAUUGCGUCUCGGGACAGGCCCGUCGUAGGAAAUUGCAUCACUUUAACGAUAGAACAUUCUAAUGGGAAAGGGAUGUCCUCUAUUUACAACAUUUAUUUCUUUUAUUCUUUUUUGCAAAGUUGGUUAUUUUUACGUGUAUGAAGGAAACAUAUGCAUUGUGAUUUUUUAUUAACGUUAAUAUAUUUGUUAGCUUGGUUGCUGUAAAAUUAUUCAGUAAUAUCUUUGCGGCCUUCUGCACCGUUGAUAAUGACGCUUCUCGAAUAUACUACCAGGAAGUCUUGAACUACUGUUAUGCAAGCGCACUACCUUCCGGAUCAAGGGAAGAUAACUCAUGUUUUCAUAUUGGCCUAUACUCAGGUGACCGAUGAGGCCUGUGAGUCUCCGGUUUACAUGUUGUCAUGAAACAGACAACAAGCUGGCUUACCAAACUUGUCUUGAAAAAUACACUGAACAAAAUUUUACUUUCCUGUCUGAUUUCUGGUCAUUCCAGCACUCAUUGCCACCUUGGUUUUUCAGCUUUCUGGGCUUCAAACGAUGGUGAGACAAUGUCUGCAGGAUCAUUUCCUGUCUCUUAAAAGCAGAAGUGGCCAGGAUACCUUACCAACCGAUCCAUUUUUAGGGAUGGUGUUUUGUAUCGAGCUGGGUAGCAGUUACUGGAGAUGUCCAGCUGAUUGAUGAGGAUAAUUUCCCCGAUCCGCUGACAUAAUUAGAUAUGAAAAUAUCAACUGCUAUAGAACAUGUCAGAUUCUUCCCCAAUGUAAACCGCCUUGGAGAAUAGAGCGUUUACUUCGCAUGCGGAAGAUCGGGGCUCGAAUCCCGGCCGCGACAGACCAUAGUCGUUAAAAUAGCCAGUGCCAGUCCUAUCACCAAACUCUCGGCUUCAGGUGUGGAUGUCACGGGUCCUCGGAGAUGACCUUAAAAACGAAUGUCCCGUUUCACAGACGGUGGAGAUUUAAAUACCUGUUGUGAUGUUCUUGAUUGUAAACAGAAGACGGUGACCUUGGAUCUGAAGAUCACUCUCUGUUAUAGUACAUGUACUACAAAUCUAACAGUGUCACACUCAGCCACAAAGAGGUUGUCUCUGAUGUCCACACAUAAACCUAAUGGACGAUCUAAAUCACAGUGAAUGUAACGGAGGAACUGUCCGUCCUGAUCUAGGAUGUGGAUACGGUUAUUGUAAUGGUCUGCUGUCAGGAUGUGACUCUGGCUGUCUGUAGUGAUGCCGAAUGGAUUAAAUGAUUGCUCGGUAUUAGAGGGAUGACCAGUGUAUCUAAAUCGGAGUUUUCCUGACUGAUUGACCACCACUACUGCACUAGCUGAGAAGUCAGCCACACAGAUAUCCAGGUUCCUAUUCUCACUGAUGUCACUAACAGAUGAGUAGAGAGGACGACCCUGAUCAUCAAACUGAAUGCUUUGUGUCUCUGUGGAGCCGGAGUAACGCACGACUUUGGAUUGUUCUCUAUCAUCUCUGUCCAUGGUAACCAGGAGAUUGUUAUCCGCGGUACAGCAGACAGAGCGAGGUCUCCACCCCUGUAGUGUGAUCACGAUUGAGUUGAGUGGAAUAAUGAACCUCCAGAUAUCUAUGUACAUUCACACGUGUAUGAUUAAACUUGUACUGCACUCACGCAUGCGAGCUUUUCCUAUA
Molecule: long non-coding RNA, 4795 nt
Organism: Ostrea edulis (European flat oyster)
Lineage: Eukaryota; Metazoa; Mollusca; Bivalvia; Ostreida; Ostreidae
Exons: 10
Source: RefSeq, a predicted model, not a curated record